Molecule: ribosomal RNA, 896 nt
Filed under: Aphelenchoides heidelbergi
Lineage: Eukaryota; Metazoa; Nematoda; Chromadorea; Rhabditida; Aphelenchoididae
Description: SSU rRNA
Rfam family: Eukaryotic small subunit ribosomal RNA
Source: RNAcentral
UGAGACAAUGGUUAACAGGAACAGCUGGGGGCACUCGUAUCGCUGCGCGAGUGGUGAAAUUCGUGGACCGCAGCGAGACGCCCGAAAGCGAAGGCAUUUGCCAAGAGUGUUUUCAUUAAUCAAGAACGAAAGUCAGAGGUUCGAAGGCGAUUAGAUACCGCCCUAGUUCUGACCGUAAACGAUGCCAACUAUCAAUCCGCCAGUGGCUUUCAGUCAUUGGCGGGCGGAUCGACGGAAACGAAAGUGUUUCGGUUCCGGGGGAAGUAUGGUUGCAAAGCUGAAACUUAAAGGAAUUGACGGAAGGGCACCACCAGGAGUGGAGCUUGCGGCUUAAUUUGACUCAACACGGGAAACCUCACCCGGCCAGUACAUCAUAAGGAUUGACAGAUUGAAAGCUCUUUCAUGAUUUGAUGAAUGGUGGUGCAUGGCCGUUCUUAGUUCGUGGCGUGAGUCGUCUGCUUAAUUGCGAUAACGAGCGAGACUCCGACUGCUAAAUACCGACUGCUUUCUUCGAGUUGGGAGUUCUUAGCUGGAUUCGAGACUCCAAGUCUCAAGAAAUGGAGCAAUAACAGGUCUGUGAUGCCCUUAGAUGUUCGGGGCCGCACGCGUGCUACAAUGAUAGUAACAGCGUGAUUGUCCUCGUCCGACAGGACUUGGCAAACAGUUGAGAUAUUAUUAUGGCUGGAAUUGAGUGUUGAAAUUUUCUCUCAUGAACGAGGAAUUCCAAGUAAAUGCGAGUCAUCAACUUGCAUUGAUUACGUCCCUGCCCUUUGUACACACCGCCCGUCGCUACCCGGGACUGAGUUGUUUCGAGAAAUCUACGGACCGUGCCUCCGCAUGGCAACAUGCGAAGGCGUGGAAAGUAAAUUAAUCCGCAAAUGGGCCUGAACCCCGGA